Molecule: ribosomal RNA, 253 nt
Filed under: uncultured bacterium
Lineage: Bacteria
Description: partial 16S ribosomal RNA
Rfam family: Bacterial small subunit ribosomal RNA
Source: RNAcentral
UACGUAGGGUGCGAGCGUUGUCCGGAAUUACUGGGCGUAAAGAGCUUGUAGGUGGUUUGUCGCGUUGUUCGUGAAAUCUCACGGCUCAACUGUGAGCGUGCGGGCGAUACGGGCAGACUAGAGUACUGCAGGGGAGACUGGAAUUCCUGGUGUAGCGGUGGAAUGCGCAGAUAUUAGGAGGAACACCGGUGGCGAAGGCGGGUCUCUGGGCAGUAACUGACGCUGAGAAGCGAAAGCGUGGGGAGCGAACAGG